GCCUAAUAMAUGCAAGUCGAACGGCCAKCMCAGCAGAGCUUGCUCUGUGGGUGGCGAGUGGCGGACGGGUGAGGAAUACGUGGGAAUCUGCCCAGUCGUGGGGGAUAACGUAGGGAAACUUACGCUAAUACCGCAUGCGCCCUUCGGGGGAAAGCCGGGGACCUUCGGGCCUGGCGCGAUUGGAUGAGCCCACGUCGGAUUAGCUAGUUGGCGGGGUAAAGGCCCACCAAGGCGACGAUCCGUAGCUGGUCUGAGAGGAUGAUCAGCCACACUGGAACUGAGACACGGUCCAGACUCCUACGGGAGGCAGCAGUAGGGAAUAUUGGACAAUGGGCGCAAGCCUGAUCCAGCCAUGCCGCGUGAGUGAAGAAGGCCCUCGGGUUGUAAAGCUCUUUUGUCCGGAAAGAAAAGCGCCGGGUUAAUACCCUGGUGUCCUGACGGUACCGGAAGAAUAAGCACCGGCUAACUUCGUGCCAGCAGCCGCGGUAAUACGAAGGGUGCAAGCGUUACUCGGAAUUACUGGGCGUAAAGCGUGCGUAGGUGGUUCGUUAAGUCCGAUGUGAAAGCCCCUGGGCUCAMCCUGGGAAUGGCAUUGGAUACUGGCGGGCUAGAGUGCGGUAGAGGGUAGUGGAAUUCCCGGUGUAGCAGUGAAAUGCGUAGAGAUCGGGAGGAACAUCCGUGGCGAAGGCGACUACCUGGACCAGCACUGMACACUGAGGGCACGAAARGCGUGKGGAGCAAACAGGAUUAGAUACCYCUGGUAGMUCCACSWCCCUAAACGAUGCCGAMCUGGAAUGUUGGGCUCAACUUUGGAAGCUCGGAAUCGAAAGCUARCSC
RNAcentral lists this ribosomal RNA (837 nucleotides) under uncultured Thermomonas sp. RNAcentral describes it as "bacterial SSU rRNA". It matches the Rfam family "Bacterial small subunit ribosomal RNA", at positions 46 to 858 of the family's 1533-position model. Lineage: Bacteria; Pseudomonadati; Pseudomonadota; Gammaproteobacteria; Lysobacterales; Lysobacteraceae. The record is from RNAcentral.